AACAAACGCUGGCGGCGUGCCUAACACAUGCAAGUCGAACGAGAAAGUCGGUUUCGGCCGAUGAGUAAAGUGGCGCACGGGUGAGUAACGCGUGGAUAAUCUACCCUUUAGUCCGGAAUAACCUGCCGAAAGGUGAACUAAUACCGGAUGACAUCCCGGGUUCUCCGGAAACCGGGAUCAAAGAAGGCCUCUGCUUGCAAGCUUUUGCUGAAGGAUGAGUCCGCGUACCAUUAGCUAGUUGGUGGGGUAAUGGCCUACCAAGGUUAUGAUGGUUAGCUGGUCUGAGAGGAUGAUCAGCCACACUGGAACUGAAACACGGUCCAGACUCCUACGGGAGGCAGCAGUGAGGAAUAUUGCGCAAUGGGGGCAACCCUGACGCAGCAACGCCGCGUGAGUGAGGAAGGUUUUCGGAUUGUAAAGCUCUGUCGAGCGGAAAGAAAUGCGCGAUGGCUAAUAUCCAUCAUGCUUGACGAUACCGCUAGAGGAAGCACCGG
This 494-nucleotide ribosomal RNA is filed under the name uncultured bacterium. RNAcentral describes it as "bacterial SSU rRNA". It matches the Rfam family "Bacterial small subunit ribosomal RNA", at positions 29 to 496 of the family's 1533-position model. The record is from RNAcentral.